UUGGCUCAGGACGAACGCUGGCGGCAGGCCUAACACAUGCAAGUCGAGCGGCAGCACAAGGGAGUUUACUCCUGAGGUGGCGAGCGGCGGACGGGUGAGUAAUGCCUAGGGAUCUGCCCAGUCGAGGGGGAUAACAGUUGGAAACGACUGCUAAUACCGCAUACGCCCUACGGGGGAAAGAGGGGGACCUUCGGGCCUCUCGCGAUUGGAUGAACCUAGGUGGGAUUAGCUAGUUGGUGAGGUAAUGGCUCACCAAGGCGACGAUCCCUAGCUGUUCUGAGAGGAUGAUCAGCCACACUGGGACUGAGACACGGCCCAGACUCCUACGGGAGGCAGCAGUAGG
This 343-nucleotide ribosomal RNA is filed under the name Shewanella xiamenensis. Its description in RNAcentral is "bacterial SSU rRNA". It matches the Rfam family "Bacterial small subunit ribosomal RNA", at positions 19 to 358 of the family's 1533-position model. Lineage: Bacteria; Pseudomonadati; Pseudomonadota; Gammaproteobacteria; Alteromonadales; Shewanellaceae. The record is from RNAcentral.